GUGAGGAAUAUUGGUCAAUGGACGCAAGUCUGAACCAGCCAUGCCGCGUGCAGGAAGACGGCUCUAUGAGUUGUAAACUGCUUUUGUACUAGGGUAAACGCUCUUACGUGUAGGAGCCUGAAAGUAUAGUACGAAUAAGGAUCGGCUAACUCCGUGCCAGCAGCCGCGGUAAUACGGAGGAUCCAAGCGUUAUCCGGAUUUAUUGGGUUUAAAGGGUGCGUAGGCGGUUUGAUAAGUUAGAGGUGAAAUUUCAGGGCUCAACCCUGAACGUGCCUCUAAUACUGUUGAGCUAGAGAGUAGUUGCGGUAGGCGGAAUGUAUGGUGUAGCGGUGAAAUGCUUAGAGAUCAUACAGAACACCGAUUGCGAAGGCAGCUUACCAAACUAUAUCUGACGUUGAGGCACGAAAGCGUGGGGAGCAAACAGGAUUAGAAACCCGAGUAGUCC
RNAcentral lists this ribosomal RNA (445 nucleotides) under uncultured bacterium. RNAcentral's name for it is "bacterial SSU rRNA". It matches the Rfam family "Bacterial small subunit ribosomal RNA", at positions 354 to 796 of the family's 1533-position model. The record is from RNAcentral.